RNAcentral lists this unclassified non-coding RNA (102 nucleotides) under uncultured Tremellales. Its description in RNAcentral is "sequence contains ITS1". Lineage: Eukaryota; Fungi; Basidiomycota; Tremellomycetes; Tremellales. The record is from RNAcentral.
AAGAUUUGGCCUCUGGCCUUUUCAAUCCAAACCUCUGUGAACCGUGGCCCUCGGGCCGAUUUUAAACAUUGUGUAAUGAAUGUAAUACUAUUGUAACAAAUA